AGGGGUGGUCUCCUCCCUUACUCUUUGGGAACUCAGAUUGGCCUUAUGGUGGCCUCUCUUUCCUUGAGGGGCACAACAGGU
Molecule: small nucleolar RNA, 81 nt
Organism: Gorilla gorilla gorilla (western lowland gorilla)
Lineage: Eukaryota; Metazoa; Chordata; Mammalia; Primates; Hominidae
Source: Ensembl